RNAcentral lists this ribosomal RNA (706 nucleotides) under uncultured fungus. RNAcentral describes it as "SSU rRNA". It matches the Rfam family "Eukaryotic small subunit ribosomal RNA", at positions 826 to 1555 of the family's 1831-position model. Lineage: Eukaryota; Fungi. The record is from RNAcentral.
ACGUGUGGUUCUAUUUUGUUGGUUUCUAGGACCGCCGUAAUGAUUAAUAGGGAUAGUCGGGGGCGUCAGUAUUCAGCUGUCAGAGGUGAAAUUCUUGGAUUUGCUGAAGACUAACUACUGCGAAAGCAUUCGCCAAGGAUGUUUUCAUUAAUCAGGGAACGAAAGUUAGGGGAUCGAAGACGAUCAGAUACCGUCGUAGUCUUAACCAUAAACUAUGCCGACUAGGGAUCGGACGGGAUUCUAUAAUGACCCGUUCGGCACCUUACGAGAAAUCAAAGUUUUUGGGUUUUGGGGGGAGUAUGGUCGCAAGGCUGAAACUUAAAGAAAUUGACGGAAGGGCACCACAAGGCGUGGAGCCUGCGGCUUAAUUUGACUCAACACGGGGAAACUCACCAGGUCCAGACAAAAUAAGGAUUGACAGAUUGAGAGCUCUUUCUUGAUCUUUUGGAUGGUGGUGCAUGGCCGUUCUUAGUUGGUGGAGUGAUUUGUCUGCUUAAUUGCGAUAACGAACGAGACCUCGGCCCUUAAAUAGCCCGGUCCGCAUUUGCGGGCCGCUGGCUUCUUAAGGGGACUAUCGGCUCAAGCCGAUGGAAGUGCGCGGCAAUAACAGGUCUGUGACGCCCUUAGAUGUUCUGGGCCGCACGCGCGCUACACUGACAGGGCCAGCGAGUACAUCACCUUAACCGAGAGGUUUGGGUAAUCUUGU